RNAcentral lists this ribosomal RNA (497 nucleotides) under uncultured bacterium. RNAcentral describes it as "partial 16S ribosomal RNA". It matches the Rfam family "Bacterial small subunit ribosomal RNA", at positions 28 to 507 of the family's 1533-position model. The record is from RNAcentral.
GAUGAACGCUGGCGGUGGGCCUAACACAUGCAAGUCGAGCGAACAGACGAUAAGCUUGCUCUUCUGACGUUAGCGGCUGGCGGGUGGGUAACACGUGGAUAACCUUCCUAUUUUUCUUGGAUAAUUUCGGGAAACCGCUGCUACUACCGGCUAAUAUAUUGAACCGCUUAGUUCAAUAGUUCAACACGGCUUUCCUGUCUCUUUUAGAUGAUUUCGCGCCGCAUUAGCUAGUUGGUAAGGUAACGGCUAACCAAGGCUACGAUGCGUAGCCGACCUGAGAGGAUGAUCGGCCACACUGGAACUGAGACACGGUCCAGACUCCUACGGGAGGCAGCAGUAGGGAAUAUUCCGCAAUGGGCGAAAGCCUGACGGAGCAACGCCGCGUGAGUGAUGAAGGUCUUCGGAUCGUAAAACUCUGUUAUUGGGGAAGAAAAAAAGUGUAAGUAACUAUGCACGUCUUGACGGUACCUAAACAGAAAGCCCCGGCUAACUACGUG